This is a long non-coding RNA of Monomorium pharaonis (pharaoh ant), 4857 nucleotides long. RefSeq lists it as uncharacterized. The record is from RefSeq and is a predicted model, not a curated record. The transcript has 2 exons. NCBI's taxonomy places the organism in Eukaryota, Metazoa, Arthropoda, Insecta, Hymenoptera, Formicidae.
GUAUACGUCUCUCUCGAUCGGGCGAUCCAUCAUCGUAUCCUCCGAGGAAGGGCUAACGUUGAGUGAACAGUUGAUCUGCCAAUCUGAUAACACGCUGGUGCCAGAGAGCUUUGCGCUUCGACAAUAAAUCCAUAUCGAACCGACCUAUAUAGCGAUACGAGAAGAAAGGAUUAUAGAUGUCGAAUGAUACAUCAAUCUCCACGGUAUCGAUCUUUUUUCGUUCAUUUCUCGAUUAUAUUGUCAGAUAUAAAUUCUUUUUAUUAAACUAUUAUUUAUUAAACUUUUAUCAAAAUAUGUAAUGAUACGCAUAUAUCUUCAAUAAUAUAUCCUCAACAUAUUAAAGUGAACAAAUGAAAUUUUAUAUAUGUAUGUGUAAUAAAUUGCAUCUACCUUAAUAAAUGUUAAAAUAAAUAUUUUAUUUAAAUUUGCAAAAGACUGUUAAUAUAAAUUUUUUACUUUUAUUUAUCAAAUAAUUGUAUAAUUUCAGAUGUUAUAACUAUUAAAUAUGUUUUGCAAGUAAGAUUCUAUCUUCAACAUUAAAAUUCACUUCAAACUAAAUAAACUAAAUAAAGAAUAAAGCUCUUUAUCUAUCUGCAGAUCCGAUUUUAAUAUUAAAAAAAGUUCGUUUCCUCUGUAUAAUGUUUUUUUCUAGUUUAUUAAGUAAACCAAGACUGUUUGUUCGUGUUAAAUAGAUAAAUAGUAUCACGUAGACGUAGAGAGAUACUUUUGCACAGAGUAUCUCGAUACAACAAUUUGUCAGACCCCUAUAAAUUCGGACCAAUUUACGCAAUCACGGACCCGCAAUCGAUCACUCUAAUUCGUUAAAUAUUUCAUGACGCAUCCGGGUACUGUUGUGAGUACGAGAAAAAAAAUUGACGCAGUACCUCCUAACCGAAAGCACGUGCUACAAAUUUCGCGCGUAAACAGCGAUUAGGCCGAGAUCGCCGUGGAAUCUAAUACAUCAAACAAAUGACGCAAUUAUACGAUCCCACGAGAGAGAGUUGCAUACUUCAAGUAACAAUCAACGGGAAAACAUAAUUAUUAUAUUGACGCGAAUUAAACAGCGGCAUUUACUCCCACGGGCUCUUAAUAUUCCUCGAAUGCUUUUAUCGCUUAAUUAUCUCGGGGGGGAGGGCUGUUCUCUUCGCGAGGUCCUCCGGCGAGAUUGAUCUACUGAACUAUCGAACUUCCUGUCUCGUCACGUCGCCAAGAUACUGCCUCUUAAAAUUGACAUUCGACUCACGUAUUCCUGCGGCCUACAAGUUUAAUACAAUACGGGAUUUAACAUGACGUCGGAGAGGUUGUACAGAUACAUAUUUGAUAACUGCGGCCUUGAAUUUGAAAUAUCGAUUUCUGCGGUUUAUUCUCGUUUUUGUACGCAACGAGAACAACCCGCGACCGCAAUGUUACCUAAUGCAAAAAUCAGCGUCAGUCACCGGACGAAUUUUUUUUUCCUGCUAUAAAACAGAAAGUAUAGCUAAAAACUCGCGAAAUAUGUCCCGUUUUUGGCUUCUUUUUAGCCUUAUUUAAUUACUAUUUAAUUUACUAAAAUUUAAUUAAAGCGUUACGUCUAAUUAGCGCAUACUUUAUUGCCAACGUCUAAUAAAUAUGUCAGGGCGGAAAUGUCAUUCAUUCGGCGGGGAACUCCCGCGAGGAAUCACAUGCAAUGCAUGCAUAAACUCAAAAACCCACAGAGACGGUUAGAGGAAAAUGGUAAUAAUGGUCAUGAGAAGAAAAUGACACGUUGCGUGUGGUACAUCUAACAUUUGAGCGCGCUAUUCGCGAAAGUCAUCACGCGAAUAGUAUCGAUUCUCAUUAUUUUUGUUUUUACAUACAACAGCUAAAUUACUCGUGUGUAACUAUUUUGGUAAUAAGAUGUUUUACUGCUAGCUUUAUACGAUCAGUUUUACGAUUACUUAGCUUAAAAUUAUCGUCGCGCGGCUAAUUUUUCGUCGAUAUUUUUUGCAAUCAAUUUGCGCAUGUUGUUUUCGCAAACGUCGUUUUGAAUGUAAUAAGCUUGUUGUACAAUCGAUUUUAUCAUUUCAACAUAUAAGAAAUAUCGACGCGUGAGUAAAUUUCCAUUAACAUAUCCGAUAUAUAAUAAUAAAAUAUUAACACGCGUUGUUUCUGUAAAGUAUCAGUUUAAAAAUAACUUUAUAUAUUUCUUUAAAUUGAAAUUAUGCGAUUAAACGUUAGUGGUUUUGAUGGAUUUAUAUUAGCGUUAUGAUUCACAACGUGAUCGAAUGUCAAUAAUUUAAUAAUUUAAAGCUCAAUAAUGGCCAAUUAUCUUGGCCGAUAUUGAUCGUGUAAAAAGUUUCACGUAGAAUAUCAAUAGUUUUCCUUAUUCCGCAUUUGCGGAAUAAUAAGGAAAAAUUAAAAUAGGUAAAUUAAUAUUAUUGUUGUUACGUGCUUGUGUAUUUUAUAAUAGAAAGUAGAGGUAAAAAUAUGUGUUGUGUGUGUAAAUUAUAAUCAUAAUAACGCUCAAUCGGAAAUUGUUAAUAUCUUUUUUAACAGUCGCAAAAAUGAGCGUGUUAAUUUGUUUGUAUUCAUUUCGUCAAAUUGUUUCGUCAAACGUUAGAUAAGAUUACAUCUUUAAUUGCUUGAAGAGCUCAAAUUCUAUUACAUAGGCGAUGACGUACGUUUAUCACAUAUUUUUUUGAAGAUUACAUCUGUUACGAUAGAAAAAAUUAUUAUUAAAACAAUGAAUGCUAAAAGUAAACGGACACAUAAAUAAACGAACGGAUCACGAGUGAUAAACGUGAUUCCCAAAAAAUUGUAAACAAAAUAUAAUAAAAUUUAAAAAAAUGAAAUAAGUUUAAUUAUUAAUAAUUGUAAAAAUAAUUAUUAUAAAAUCGUGAGAAUAUUUAUUUUUCAUAAAAUAAAUUCCUCUAAUAUCAGUAGAAGUUGCAUUAUCGACUGAAACAAUUUAUGAAGUUUCUUUAGUUUCUUCAGAUAGCUUGUUAUGGAUUUUUAUACGUUUCCAAUAUCCUCGAAGUUUUCUCUUCAAGUUCGAAGACAAAUUUGAUUCAACAAAAGAGUACAAUGUGUGAGCAAUGUAUGCUUUCAAAUCGAGAAUAUAUAAUAGAAAUUGCUCUCAAAGAUAAAAAACGAGAAAAAAUCAAAUAUUGAUUCAUUAAUAGAUAACUUGUAUUGGCCUCGAACUGAAAUUAUAUUUUUCGAAGCAGUACAAAGGACAACACAAAUAAAUUCGUUGAAAAUUAUACCGAAACAUGUGUUGUCAAUAUUGGAAAGAAUUAUACUUUGAAUAAAAUGAAAUAGUUAGUUUUUACUAUAAGUAUUGCAGUAAAAUAAAAUCAAUUUAGUUAUUUAAUUGCCAAUACGUAUAACAAAGUGAUACAUAUAAUUUAAAAACAAGUUAAAAAAAUUAUCUUGUUCUAUCUCAACUCUUACCUCAGAACUUGAGUUAUUUCAAAGUUGAACCAACGAAUGUCUUAUCCUAUGUUGCCUUAUCAUAGAAAUUUGCCUUCGGACGUUUCGUCAUAGAAGAAAUCUGGUUUAUAACGGGAUGCACUUGCGUCACUCGGGAAUUCCACUAUAUACGAUGCAGGAGACAUUUAACUUUUCCACCAGAUACGAAAACGCGUCCACUGUCGUGAUAUGAAAUCGUGUCGACGACUGACUGACUGUGUUUGUUUACGUUUGGCAUCGUCCCGUACUUGUAUCUGCCUGAUAUAUACUUGAUCCCCGCAGAUAAUUAUUAAUGACAUUGUAUAAUGUAAAUUCUAUCGUAUAAAAAAAUAGCUUUCUACUUUCACUGAACUGUUACUAUAAUAUUAUUAUGUAAAACUAAAAAUUGUGAAUCUUUAAAUAACCUAAGAUAUAUAAGACAUUCAAAAGUUGCAUGAAAAACAAAACGUUCCAAUUUUUUAUGACUUAAAUAUCCAUUUAUCCAUUUAUUAAUUUUAUAGUUAUUGCAAAUUGAAAUUAUUUAAUUAAAUUAUAUUCAACUAUAUUUCACAUUAAAUUGCGAAAAAUUUAGCUACUUUAACAAUAAUAGUUGAAUAUUUUAAUUAAUCUAUUAUUUAGAUUCGUUACAAAAAGGAACUAUAUAAUUUUAAUUUUAUAAUAUUACAAUUGUAAAACUGAAACUAAAUUUAUGAAAAUGGAUAAAAAAUCGAGUAGCACGUACACGUACAUACAAACCAAUUAUAAAUCACUUCAAAUUUUCUUCAUUUCGGUUGUGUUCACGAUUUUUAUGUCCUUUAAUUCUUUUCAUUCUGAAUUACUCUGUACAAUUUUUAAAAAUAUUUGUUCGUAUAUUUGUAGUUCAUGGGAUAAAAAUUUCUGUCAUUUCGCACGUACGAGGAAUCUUGCAAGUUUUACAUUCUUAUCUUCAGUAUGAGUUUAGGCCUCCUUUUUUUCCUCUUCAUGAAACUGUCUUCUUCUGCGAUGAAUACGAUUGACAUUAAUCUGUCUUAUAAGAGACAUACAACUUCAUGGAUUUACUUCGUAGAAGUCCUAGAUAAGGAAAAAAUAUUUAAAUUUUUAAGAAUGCUAUCAACGUGAUACAACUGUUUUUCCCUAAUUAUGUGUGUCAGGGUAAAGGUAGAAUUUCCCUCGUGCGCUGAGUAAUCAUUACUUCUGGAGGACAGCCGAUCACGAAUGGAGGAAAUAUCACGUAUCGGAUGUUGUAGAAGUACCUGUCAAGUAAACGCUCUCCGUAAAAACGUGUCGGAAUGCAGAACAAGAUUGAUACAAUAGUAAAUACUUGAAUAUUUAGAUUCGAUUAGCGUAUCUUAGAUGCUGAUAACUCAUCGAUUAUUUGUAUGGCGAGAUUAAUCAUGAAUUUAUCAAACGACAGUGUAAAUGCAAUAAAUAUCCUUGCAAAAUAAGAAA